RNAcentral lists this small RNA (30 nucleotides) under Bombyx mori (domestic silkworm). RNAcentral's name for it is "ovarian small RNA-17523". Lineage: Eukaryota; Metazoa; Arthropoda; Insecta; Lepidoptera; Bombycidae. The record is from RNAcentral.
GGGGAGAUUCCAGAGUGGCCAAAUGGAUCA